Molecule: non-coding RNA, 189 nt
Organism: Takifugu rubripes (torafugu)
Lineage: Eukaryota; Metazoa; Chordata; Actinopteri; Tetraodontiformes; Tetraodontidae
Source: Rfam
GGAGGUUCAUUAGAAGUAACGAGUUGACACAAGGUAAAUCUUAAUGUUGAGGCGCCUUUCUUUACCGGCCCGGGGAGGAGCCCUCAUUAACUGUCGCUAACAACCCGUGUAAAUACACUGAUUGGACAGCUCCGAUACAAGCUCCGAGCCCUGCCAGGAAGUGUCCCUAAUGAGACCACACAAUAAAAA